Molecule: long non-coding RNA, 2848 nt
Organism: Macadamia integrifolia
Lineage: Eukaryota; Viridiplantae; Streptophyta; Magnoliopsida; Proteales; Proteaceae
Exons: 2
Source: RefSeq, a predicted model, not a curated record
GUGGGGUGUAAACUUGGUGGAUUUAAAGUUUUUUUGAGGAGCAUUAUUUUGCGUUGUAUCUUUACACAAUAAGAUAGUAUGCAUCUUUGGAAAGUUGUGUUGUAGUACUAGAGGGAAUUAUUUGUUUGUGCUAUAAUGAGAGCAAGGAUUGCUUUCAGUCCGUGGAAUGGGAAACUAUUACUUGGAGUUCCUUGGGUCUUUGCUAGAGUGUUACUUGAAGCUGGUUCUUUAAUUCCCGAAACAAGUUGAUUAUUCCUAAUAUGAAAGGUUGAGAUUUAGUUGAGAUAAUUUAUGGAGCCAAUUUGGGAGCAUCAAUAAUGUCCUUGUUCAAGGUAAUAUGUGCCACAAUCAAAUGGAAUGCUAAAACUAGGGGACAUCAUUAUUCAUUUGUUGCAGUUACUAUUCUCUACAUUGUUUUUUGUGAGUGUUGAAGCUGCAGUCUAUACUUGUAUUGCUGUAAGAUAUGUUGUUUGAAUUACCCACACAUUGGUUGCCCGGAUCACUAUAACCCUGUGGUCUUUUCUUAAUUUUCUUAUAUACUUGACCAAUUUAAUAAGGGCAGGAUAGAUGUUGAUUGAUGGAGUGGUAGUUUAGAGGAUGGACUUGUGCACCAAUUCUUGUUAUAUUCUAUUUAUUUUCUAAUGGAAGUUUAGUAUAUCUGAAGAAGAUCCUAUAUCAGUUUGUACUGCAAUUAUAUUCUGAAGAAGAGUUUUGUUUCUUAUACAUGGUAGGCAAUUAUAUUUUGAACAAUACCUACCCACCAAUUUAUGCUAGUCUUUUAAUUAGUGGUAUUUCUGUAAUUUUUGAUUAUCUACAAAGAACUUGGUUUCAGAACUAUUGUUUUUCUGUUUUGAAACCGUUUCUGAAACAUGUUCACCAAACACCAUUUUUUGGUUUAAAAACGGAAUUUUGACACAGAAAAUCGAAAUUAUGUUUUUGACACGAAACGUCGUUUCUAAAGCAAAAUGACUAGCAAGCACAGCCGUAUAUUAGGAUCCCAUCCAAGUUUCUAACCCUAACCAUGCCCCUUCUUUAGCUCCUCUUCUUUUCUUCUCCGAAACACCCAGCGGACGCUUUUCUUGGCUGAACUCAUAAAUCUUAAAAAUUCACCUUCUCCACCCUUCUUUGUCGUCUUCUUCUCCCUAUCUUCCCUUGCCAGUUGCCAUGGCCGAACCAUCUCUUUUCUUCUUUUUCCCAUCUUCUCCAUCCUCUCUACUCCUUAAUUGAUUUCCUCAAAUGGGUGCAUACCCAUUGUUUGAUUUUUUGCCUGAAAGAAAUUCCGGGUUCUACAACCAGUCUUUGGUUAGCCAUUCCACUAAGCAUGGGCAUGACCAAGAAGCAGGUUAUUCUGUCAGAAGAGAGCUCGCUAGACUCGGUCAUGUCCAUGCGUCAUUGAGGUUGUUUUGCUGCUCGGAUUGAAAUCCCCAAAAUUCACCCUAUCCAGUGUUCUUUGUUCUUGUGCAAAAUGGUUAGAUUGGCUUUUGGGUUUGAAAGUUCAUGCCCGAAUAAUUCAAAUAGGAUUUGAAGAUUUUUUAUUUUUUAUUUUUUUAAAUAGUGCUCUUAUUGAUUUGUACGCCAAGUGUGGCCUAUUUAAUGUUUCUUAUGUAAUGUAGUUUUUUUUUUUGGGGGGGGUUUGGUUUUAUUUCAUUUUCGCUCUUGAUGACAUAUGGGACUGUCCCUACCCCUUUUGAUACCUUUGAAUUAUUUUUUUAUUUAUUUGAUUCAUAAUAAAAGAAAAUGUUUAAAGUUCUUUUGGAUAAGGGUAUUUUGAUAAUCUUAAAUUUGAGAGAGUUACAAAUAUAAAGGGGUUUCGGUCUUGUAAUAAUUCCUCAGUGGAGAAGGAUAGGUUUGGCCUUUUGGGAUACAUUAGGGGUAGAUUGGGAAAGGAAGAAUUAGGGCCACUCACAAACCCACGUGUAGAAGGAAAGGAGGAAAAGAAAAGAGAAUUUGAAAGGGAUAGCUUGAGAGAGAGGCCAAAAUAGAGUAUUAGGGUUUUGUUGUUUCUUUACGGAAGAGAAUCGCAAGAGAGAGGGAAUGAGAAAUAAAGUGAAGGGAAAUGGGGGGUGGGGUUAAGUUUUGAUUAUGAGUAAAAGGAGCUGGGGGUUUCUAGGAGGGAGGUCGAUCAGUUUCUCUAAUAGGUUCAGGAGAAGAGAGGUUCGGUUCAGAGGAUAGGUUGGUCUUCUUCUUAUUUUUUUAUUCUUCUAGUGUUAGGGUUUUUUUCUUAUCAUGAGGGGAGACGAGUUGAGAAAGAGAUUUUUAGGUGGGGGUUUUAGCUUUUUUUAGGAACAAAAAAUCUCUGGUUUUUGGUGGGGAAAAGAAGGUUCUCUCUUUCCCUCUCAUGUUCUUCAAUCCUGGGUUGGUUUCUUCCCAGUAUUUUUUGGGGAUUUCGUCUCUAGUGUAUCUGAUUCGCUGCCUAUUUUCCGCAACAUUGAGGCAAAACCAUUCCUGGUGUGAUACAACCUUGGAAUAGAUGGCUGGGAUUAGCCCUGAUUUCCCCUUUGAUCGAGUGACUAAGGUCUGCUCAAGGAUGAAUUCAACUGGGUUGGUUUGGAUGGAACCUGCUAUGAGUUUAGUUGAGAGAAAAUUCGUUUCACGGCUGCAACCACUCUCAUUCUCAGCGGGUUCAGUGGCGUCAACCAUGUGUAUACUUCCAACUUGGAGUCCCACAUAUAUUUUUUUCUAAAUUUCCCUAUGAUGUAUAGGAAAGUAGUUUCUUUGGAUACAGAUGUUGGGAUGUCUCAAGGAUAAUCGUUGAUGUCCCACUAAGAUGGCCCAACCUCAAGAGACAGAUUGUUUGAAUCUCAUCUGUAAUUCUUUAUUUAGAUUUUCUAUAUCUAAUCUGUCUUUA